UAGCAGUCAGUUCUGGGCCGAUUCUGGCUUUUUUCCGCCAGUGUCGGCUGAAAGCCGGACAGAUUUUUAGUGUAUGCGCCAGAACUGGCCCAGAUGAGGAAAUAGUAUACCAGUAGUAAACACUAUUUAUAGCUGUUGGCCCGAGUGUAAGCAUACUCAGCUGAAGUCCGGGUCUACUAAAGUAGCGUCUCAGUGUAAUCGGGCCAAAUCUGGCAUUGUGUAGUCGGACCGACUACGUUGCAUUGUGCCUGGACCGAUUAUGGUUUGAUAUGAUACUGCCAAGAUGUGUAUGAUGUCAGAAAUUCAGUAUGUGGCCCGAUACCAGUGAAACUGACACAUGCCGGUUGUAACGCUGUUUGGCGGCAAUUUAAAAAUGUUUAUGCUUCAGACGGACAGUAUACAGUACACGGCCCGAUUCCGUGAUGCGGCAAUCAGCCCUCUAGCUGUUGAACGGCAACAUCACCACUGCUGUUAUGAUUUGAAUCAAGCAGAGCACAAAGCUGAGCUCCAGUUCGACACAGACACCAUCAUCAAUAACUGGUAAGUCACUGAUUUAGUUUUUAUAUGUUAAAAAUGCAUGAUAACAAUGAAAAGGAAUUGUUUGCUACAUAUUCAAAACCGUGAAUUUUCCUGCAUGUUUAGCUAGCUAUCACGUUAGCUUAAAUAUUGUUGUUAGUAAGCUGAAUCCAUUUAGAAAGAUGUAAAUAACCAGUCAUCGUUCACGUGCAGGUUAACAGGUUUUUAAUAAUCAAGCAGAGAAUUCAGACACACGUUCGUAUCUUCAUAAAAAGGAGCAGUACACACAACCUUAUUUGAGCUAAAGUAGUUAAGAAGUUAAAGAGCACCCUGCUGAAAAAUCCAGCAUCAAACCAGCAUGGGAAUUAUGAUGGUCUUUGCUGGUGGUCACCAGCAUAACAGCACCAAAACACAACAUAUGCUGUGGCUUGCUGGUAUGCUGUUUUUUUCAGAAGGGCACAUUUUUCAGAUUCACGAAUUUACACACCCUUUGAUGUGUAAGUGUUAAAGACAUGUGAACGAUGUGCAAAUGUACAAAACCCUACACUGUAAAAAAUUUGCUGUAAUUAUGCAGCUGGUUGCCAGUAACUUACUGUAGAAGUUAAAGACUGAAAAUGUUUCAUGUUAAUUUAACUUUGAACAAACUGUUGCCAGUAAAUAACAUAAAUGUAAAAUCUACAGUAAGUUACUGGCAGCUAGUUGGCAGUAACACCCAGUAAUACUGUAAUUUCUACAGAAAUUUUUUACAGUGUAAGUAAACAAUGACGCCAGUUAUCUUCUUCAACUUAAAUCUCUUUUCUUGGACUACAACAAACACACAACAGUUUACUUCUAUGGAUUGCACACAACUUUUCUUAAAUUAGCACACAAAAAAUAGCAUGCAUCACCUCUUUGAUAUAAGCAAUCAACUACUGUAUGACCUGUGUCCUGUAUGAAACUAUGACCAACUAUUAAGACUAUAAAUCUGUUUCAGGUUAACUGGUUGGGGCUUAUUGGCGGGACAGAUGUACGAGACUGCACAUGGCAUAUAUUGAAGAGGGCGACCGACAAAUCCCUGGCUUAAAACCUCAACUGGAUGGAAAAGACUUUAUUUGCCACCCUCUAACUCAGAGAGGUAGUGAUUGAUGCAGUUCGGAGAAGGUCCCUAACAGUUGUGGAGGGGACAAUGAAGAGGUGGCUUGAUCGAGAGGGUGGGUGCAAGAGACAACUUUAGCAAAAGAAAAGCAGUUAGUGUUAGCGCCUGUGUUUGAGUCUGCAAAGGAGAAUGUUUUGUGCUGUAAAAAGAGUGGUGGUGUUUUGGUUAAAUGUGUUUAACUUGUUUUAAUUACUUGGCUUGUGUGUGAGAGGUGUGUGUGCGUGUGGGUUGGUAUAUGUGGUUUAUGGGGAACAGUGUAUAAUGACAUGUUUAAUAUGCUAUAAACAUGCUUUACAGGGACACAAUACUAAGUGGUAAUUUUUCAGAUUAAAGACUUCCAACAGAUUUUUGUUAUGGUUGGGCUUAGGGACUGGGGUAAAUUAAGGCAAUAGAAUAUACAGUUUGUACAGUAUAAAAUGCAUUGUGUCUAUGGAAUUGUCCCGGUAAACCACAUAUGCCAAUGUGUGUGUGAGAGAGAAUUUUUUUCUUUAAAUGUUAAUUAAUUUGUUUUACAUGUUGUCUCGCUGUAAUUGCUUAAGGGGAUAGUUCACCCCAAAAUUGCAAUUUUAUCAUAAAUCACUUCCCCUCUGUCGUUCUAAACCAACAAGUGCUUAGAUUGUCUUUAGAACACGUUUUUAGAUAUUUUUGAUGAAAACUGGGAGGCUUCUGUCCGUCCCAUUGAUUUCAGUUAGUUUUACAAUCUGUUUCACAGAAAAGAAUGAAAGACAUUGCCAAAAAGUUCAGUGUUCCAUCAGUAUUUCAAUGAAAAUUUUUUUCAACAGUUUGUUCUUCUCCUUGGUCGUUCAAAGCCUGUUAACGACCAGACUACGGCGCAUCCUGCUGACGUCACCUGCUGACGUAGUUCCCAGCGUACAGACAGAAUAGGCUGCCAAGUAAUUUGUACAUUUAUUUGGGCUGUUUAAGUAUUGUUACAAUGUUUGCAUUAUGCUUUAAAAAAAGCGUAGAAAAACAAAAAAAAACAUUGGUAACCACAUCAGCAAGUGACGUGAGCUGCAGGUGAUGUCAGCAGCAUCGCUGUAGUCUGGUCUUGAAUACACUUUCAACAACUAAGGAGGAGAACAAAUUGUUGAAAUCGUUCGUUUUAUUUUCUUUGUGCACAAAGUGUUCUUGUCACUUCAUAAUAUUAUUAUUAAACUACUAAUGGAAAAUGGACCUUUUUGGCGAUGUCUUUCAUUCUUUUCUGGGAAACGGAUUGUGAGACUAACUUAAGUCAAUGGGACAGACAAAAGCCUCCCGGUUUUCAUAAAAAAAUUCUAAAAAUGUAUUCUGAAGACAAUCAGAGCACUUGGUGGUUUAGAACGACACAGGGGUAAGUGAUUUAUGAGAAAAUUAUAAUUUUAAGGGUGAACUAUCCCUUUAAAAAUGUUUAUAAAGUGGGUUAUGUGCUUGUAAAAUGUGUUGUGUAAGAGAUAUAUGUCUGUUUGUAUUUGUUGGGUUUUUGUAAAGUGUACUGAAUUUGUUAAGAAUUAAUAUGUUCAAAAUUACGGUUAAUUGUUGGUACAUGUUAAAACAUGUUCAUAUUUAUGUAUUUGUUAACUGUUAAUUCACAUUAAUGUGAUGUGUGUAUUUUUUUAAUAAAAGGCUCUUAAUCUUCUUAAA
Non-coding RNA from Misgurnus anguillicaudatus (oriental weatherfish), 3271 nucleotides. Lineage: Eukaryota; Metazoa; Chordata; Actinopteri; Cypriniformes; Cobitidae. The record is from RefSeq and is a predicted model, not a curated record.